GACCAAAGAGGGGGACCUUCGGGCCUCUUGCCAUCAGAUGUGCCCAGAUGGGAUUAGCUGGUUGGUGAGGUAACGGCUCACCAAGGCGACGAUCCCUAGCUGGUCUGAGAGGAUGACCAGCCACACUGGAACUGAGACACGGUCCAGACUCCUACGGGAGGCAGCAGUGGGGAAUAUUGCACAAUGGGCGCAAGCCUGAUGCAGCCAUGCCGCGUGUAUGAAGAAGGCCUUCGGGUUGUAAAGUACUUUCAGCGGGGAGGAAGGUGUUGUGGUUAAUAACCGCAGCAAUUGACGUUACCCGCAGAAGAAGCACCGGCUAACUCCGUGCCAGCAGCCGCGGUAAUACGGAGGGUGCAAGCGUUAAUCGGAAUUACUGGGCGUAAAGCGCACGCAGGCGGUCUGUCAAGUCGGAUGUGAAAUCCCCGGGCUCAACCUGGGAACUGCAUUCGAAACUGGCAGGCUUGAGUCUUGUAGAGGGGGGUAGAAUUCCAGGUGUAGCGGUGAAAUGCGUAGAGAUCUGGAGGAAUACCGGUGGCGAAGGCGGCCCCCUGGACAAAGACUGACGCUCAGGUGCGAAAGCGUGGGGAGCAAACAGGAUUAGAUACCCUGGUAGUCCACGCCGUAAACGAUGUCUACUUGGAGGUUGUGCCCUUGAGGCGUGGCUUCCGGAGCUAACGCGUUAAGUAGACCGCCUGGGGAGUACGGCCGCAAGGUUAAAACUCAAAUGAAUUGACGGGGGCCCGCACAAGCGGUGGAGCAUGUGGUUUAAUUCGAUGCAACGCGAAGAACCUUACCUGGUCUUGACAUCCACGGAAGUUUUCAGAGAUGAGAAUGUGCCUUCGGGAACCGUGAGACAGGUGCUGCAUGGCUGUCGUCAGCUCGUGUUGUGAAAUGUUGGGUUAAGUCCCGCAACGAGCGCAACCC
Molecule: ribosomal RNA, 924 nt
Filed under: Salmonella enterica
Lineage: Bacteria; Pseudomonadati; Pseudomonadota; Gammaproteobacteria; Enterobacterales; Enterobacteriaceae
Description: bacterial SSU rRNA
Rfam family: Bacterial small subunit ribosomal RNA
Source: RNAcentral